AGUGGCCGACAGAGGGCGCCGAGAUUCGGGAGCCGGGGUGGGGCGGCCCCGGGCCUCCGUCUGCUCCUCCCACCCCCGCCGCGGCACCCACGCCCACUCGGCGGCGGGGGCCGGGUCUUGGGAAAGUCCCAGGGCGCACCUCGUGCCGGAAAUUUUUCUCACGCACCUGGAGUCGCAGAAUGCCCGGGCUGCAAGUGAUGUCAGGGGGGGCCUAACCUGCCAAAGCUCACACUCUGGAGAAGAUCUCUCAGUGUGACCUGGCCACGUAGCUCGGAUGGCCUGUUUGUCAACGUAAAUGAAGGGUUAGCUCAUCAACAAGCCCUGCCCACUGCCCACAAAUACACUAUCCUGAGCCCUCUUCUGAAAUCAUCACUCUUUACAGGUAUUGCAUCCAAAGUAGGUUUCUCUCCCAUUACAGCAGACAUCAAACAAAAAAUACGCCUACUCAAUGUGAAGACGAUGAGAAUGAAGCCCUUUAUGAUGAUCCACUUCCACUUGAUGAGUAAUAAUCUUAGAAGACGGCUCAUCAUAAGCAAUUUCUUACGGACCCCAAAAUGUGCUAUUUUUGGCUCAGAUGUCUAAAGUGUCAAGGAGGUGAGGAGCUACCAGUUUCCUGUCUCCUGGCACCUGAUGGGCAAUUUUCCAGCCAUUAAAUGCCAAGCCCUCUGGAAAGUGGCUGACCAGCGCAUUGACAAUCCAGACUUCAGUUGUGGUAAUGCAGCACUUUGAAAUGUGAAUACAGUGAGCUCAAAUCCCUUGCAGUGGGAAACCCGUUCCCUUUUCCAGAAUCUACAGAUAUUCUGCUAGGAUAGUGC
RNAcentral lists this long non-coding RNA (815 nucleotides) under Callithrix jacchus (white-tufted-ear marmoset). RNAcentral's name for it is "lncRNA (ENSCJAG00000054467.2)". The record is from RNAcentral. Lineage: Eukaryota; Metazoa; Chordata; Mammalia; Primates; Cebidae.